UCAAACUGGACAAACGCCCGUAACAGUUGCUGUGAAAUUGGCCUUACUCUGACCUCAAUGGAAUCGGCGGGAAAGUCGAGUUGCUUUUCCAGAAUAGUCUCAAAAUUCGCUCCGGCGACCUUUGGAGACUACUGGCUCUCCGGCACUGAUCUGGGGUGUGACUCAAACUUCCGCUGGUGCACCCUGAGCCGGGACUUCGUCCACCCUGAGCUCAAUUGGAAGGAGGGACACCCGAAACCCGGCCUGGACUGCGUUUAUCUCGAAGUGAGGAAUGGAUCCACGUUGCUGGCCACCGAUAACUGCGCCCAAAACAAGAGCUUUCUCUGUGAAGUGAGGAAGAAGGGUACCUUCGGAAGGGCCAUGCAGACCGAAUGUGCAGAAACUUGGGACAUCACAAUUGAACAAAUCGAUCUUCUUAUGAACGUGAGCGCUUUUCUCGCGGCAACUAUUUCGCAA
This is a long non-coding RNA of Cloeon dipterum, 456 nucleotides long. RefSeq lists it as uncharacterized. The transcript is spliced from 3 exons. The record is from RefSeq and is a predicted model, not a curated record. NCBI's taxonomy places the organism in Eukaryota, Metazoa, Arthropoda, Insecta, Ephemeroptera, Baetidae.